GAGAAAAAAUUAGAAAGGUGUAGGUUGACUUUAAUAAGAAAGAGAAAAAGUUAGAGGGGUGCAGAAUCACUUUAUGAAGAAAGAUAAAAUAUUAAAAUAAUAUUAAUUAAGGUUAAAAUGGUAAUUUUUGGAAGUGCAGGAUGAAAGCUUGGAGGUGGAAGAUGAAACACCCUGGAUUGAGUUGGGUUGGGUUUUGUUGGUGUGGUGGGAGUUGGGUUGGGGUUAGGUUGGGUUGGACGGGAUUGGACUUGAGGGUGACAGGAGUUGAUUGGGGGAGAGUGAUUGAGUGGAUUUGAGGGUAAUUUUUUUCGCUGUUUAUUUGAGUGAAUUUGGAGGUAAACGAGAAUGAAUUUUGAAAUAAACUUUGUGAGAAUUGUGUAGGAUUUAGUUUAUAUGAUAGAUUAAAAAAAUUUACUUCAAAAUCCACUUUCGUUUACCUCCAAAUUCACUCAAAUAAACAACAAAAAAUAUUAUCCUCAAAUCCACUCAAUCACUCUCCCCCAAUCAACUCCUGUCACCAUCAAGUGAACACACCCUUAAGGAAACAAGGUUUCAUCUCUGAAUAGAAGGUUAAAGGGAAUACAGACUCUAA
This 592-nucleotide long non-coding RNA is filed under the name Vigna radiata. Its description in RNAcentral is "long non-coding RNA (VRAD_LNC009424)". The record is from RNAcentral. Lineage: Eukaryota; Viridiplantae; Streptophyta; Magnoliopsida; Fabales; Fabaceae.